RNAcentral lists this ribosomal RNA (407 nucleotides) under uncultured bacterium. RNAcentral's name for it is "partial 16S ribosomal RNA". It matches the Rfam family "Bacterial small subunit ribosomal RNA", at positions 30 to 526 of the family's 1533-position model. The record is from RNAcentral.
AUUGAACGCUGGCGGCAGGCCUAACACAUGCAAGUCGAGCGGAGCGGCGGACGGGUGAGUAAUGCCUAGGAAUCUGCCUGGUAGUGGUGGAUCACGUCCGUAAACGGGCGCUAAUACCGAAUACUAUCAUAUCAGCCUCGGUCGGAUUAGCUAGUUGGUGGGGUAAAGGCCUACCCAGGCGACGAUCCGUAACUGGUCUGAGAGGAUGAUCAGUCACACUGGAACUGAGACAUGGUCCAGAUUCCUACGGGAGGCAGCAGUGGGGAAUAUUGGACAAUGGGCGAAAGCCUGAUCCAGCCAUGCCGCGUGUGUGAAGAAGGUCUGCGGAUUGUAAAGCACUUGAAGUUGGGAGGCGUUACCAACAGAAUAAGCACCGGCUAACUUCGUGCCAGCAGCCGCGGUAAUAC